This 467-nucleotide ribosomal RNA is filed under the name uncultured bacterium. RNAcentral's name for it is "partial 16S ribosomal RNA". It matches the Rfam family "Bacterial small subunit ribosomal RNA", at positions 28 to 507 of the family's 1533-position model. The record is from RNAcentral.
GAUGAACGCUGGCGGCGCGCCUAACACAUGCAAGUCGAACGAUUAAAGCACCUUCGGGUGUGUAUAAAGUGGCGAACGGCUGAGUAACACGUGGGCAACCUGCCCCUCUCAUUGGGAUAGCCACGGGAAACCGUGGAUAAUACCGAAUACUUCGGGACUUCCGCAUGGAAGACUCGAGAAAGCUCCGGCGGAGAGGGAUGGGCCCGCGGCCUGUUAGCUUGUUGGUGGGGUAAUGGCCUACCAAGGCAAUGAUGGGUAGCUGGGUUGAGAGACCGACCAGCCAGAUUGGGACUGAGACACGGCCCAGACUCCUACGGGAGGCAGCAGUGGGGAAUCUUGCACAAUGGGCGAAAGCCUGAUGAAGCGACGCCGCGUGCGGGAUGAAGGCCUUCGGGUUGUAAACCGCUUUCAGCAGGGACGAGGCGAAAGUGACGGUACCUGCAGAAGAAGCCCCGGCUAACUACGUG